RNAcentral lists this long non-coding RNA (1258 nucleotides) under Salvia miltiorrhiza (redroot sage). RNAcentral's name for it is "long non-coding RNA (SMIL_LNC004667)". Lineage: Eukaryota; Viridiplantae; Streptophyta; Magnoliopsida; Lamiales; Lamiaceae. The record is from RNAcentral.
UCAGCUCUCCCCGUCAACACCAGCCAUCAACCUGAAAAAUAUUUGAAAAUAUUUGGGCUAAGUACUAAUGUACUUAGUGGGCUGCAACUUUUAAAACAUUUCACAAUUCGUAAGAGCAGUUUAUCCAAUCAUUCAUGACAUAACUUAGAAGGUUUUAAAGUAAAGGAACUUCUAAGCAUGUUAAAGCAUUUCAUUUUGUUAGCGCGUUGUUGUCACACUCUGUUCUAUUACUCGCUGUGAUCCCGGACCUUUUAGCCACCGGCGGAUCCCUCAUUCCCAUGACACUUGCCCUGACCUCUCUACUGCUCUGCCCUAUCUACUCUCUGCUCUGCCCCUCGCUCUCUUUAAAGCGCAGCAGCUGUCCUUGGAACCACCGCUGCUGGGCACGAGUCCAGCGCGCCACUGCACGUCGCCAUGGUUCACCGUCGACGGUUGAGUCUUCGCUCGAUCAUCGCCUCGUGGCUCGAACGAACAGGGCCGCGUCCCAUUUUCUAAAGCUAAGUCCUACUCUCUUCUACUUCAGCUUCUAAUUGUUAAGGGGGUAGGGGUUCUCAUGGCUUUGGUUCUAUGUACAGUGGUAAUAUCUCAACGUAUGAAUCAUACUUUUUCCGUGAAAUGUCAUAAAUCAUGUAUUCGCAUAUGUGGGUUGCUAUGAGUCCUAUAGACAUGAAUACAACAGGAAAGUAACUGAUGCUAUUUGUUAUAGAGUAUGUAACUUUGCUAAGUUUAUCAAGCUUAUGGUCAUCUAUCAUUUGAAUCGGAUCAUGCUUAAUGGUAUGAAUGCAAACUGGAUUGAAUAUGUGGGACAGCAGUAAUACCUUGAGAAUAUUUGUGUUGGUUGCCUGUUGUGAUAUUGAUGAUUGAGAUGGGGAAUAACUGAAAUAUGAUGAAGGUGUUAUUGCUUUAAAAUGCAGGUGGAGGUUAUGGCAGGAGGUGGAAACGUUCAAGCCGAAGCUUACCUUGAGGAUUUGGCGGAAGUUGGGCAGCUCUGUCCCUCACGUUAAUGAAGUCUCAAUGAACUGAAACUUGUUCAGGUAUGGCAGCAGGAAGGUCGAGCAGCGGCUGUGAGUGAAAGAGGGAGUCCGUUGGCCGAAGGAAACUCGCCUGCUCUUCCGCGAACUCGUGUGUGAAGAAUGAAGGAAAUGGCGUGUUCUUGGCUGGAGUUGAAGCAAAUAGAAGGAGAUGUUGGCUGCAUACUUGAGUAUGCUAGAGACAAGGUAUAGGGUAGGGUGAAGGUGAUUGGAGAAGUGGGCGGCUG